GAGCAGGCCGUCGGGGCCUCGCCGUCUGAGACUGGCUCCGGUUCAGAAUCGAGCGUCGGCGGUCAAGCCGCACGUCUCCUGAAACCGAGAACAGCCAGCUGAUGCUCAGCAUCAGCACCAUCGCCUCGGCCAUCGCCGACGCCUCCGUCAGCACCGACCCGUCGCAGCUGGCCGCCAUGAUCGUGGAACUGUCCAAAAGAAGCCGGGCCAAGAGUCGAGGCAGUCCAGCAGGGCCGCGGCGAGCAGCACCGAGGAACACACCUCGGCUCCACCUACGCUCCCUGACUGGGAUCAGACUGCAGCUCUGCAGAAAACCACCUGCGUUGGGGAGCUGAGUGCCUUCGACAUGGAGAAGUACCUGAGCGGCGGGACACGUCGGGCAGCAGCGACGCCUCCGCGGCGCACACCACGUUCGACCUGAGCGCCUGGGCCGAGAGCCUGGGCCGAUCCCAGAGGAACAACCCAGGCUUCAGAUCCUGAGAACCGGAGCUGCUCGGCUCCGCCGGCGACAGCCGGGACCGGCAGGUCGCCGCGGGGGAAAACCAGAGAGACCAAGAGUUUAUCAGCAGCAGCCGAUCCCAGCGCUCUGUCGCCUCCCAGUAGGGCCCACUGCAAGAGGAGCUCCAUCCCUCGUCCUCGGUCGUCUCUGAGAAGAUCCGUGGGCUCGUCGACUGCUUCUGAUCACUCCGCCUCGAACGGGUCCAAACCACAACUGACUUCAGAAACUCAACACCUGACGAGAACCUCUGCUUCUCCACCUCGCCUGGGAUCCCACAGUGAGGAAUCGGGUCGUGGGUCAAACUGCCCUCUCAGUCUCGCCAGGACAGAGCUGUCGAGUCUUCAGAGACGGACCCGCCAACAGGAAGUACGACGGCGGCUCCCAGAAUGCCGAGCUUGGAGAAGCCGGCCGGUGUGUCCGGCCACAGCGAGAAGCCAGCAGCAGAUCCUGCAUCCGCGUUUCCUGCGCCGGGCGUGGAGGAGAGUCAGUGCAGCUUCAGACCGUCCACCUCUCCUCUCACCCACUCCUCCCCAGUCAGACCUCCAUUCCCAGUGCAGACGGGUACCGUACGCUCACUAUACCUCACAUAUGUGAAAUUCCACUCAGUACUGAUACAGUCAGGGAGCUAACAGUCCAGUCCUCAGUCUCUUCUGUUGUCACCGUUUUGAGUUUUGGCCUGAGCGCUGCGGUUCAUCCCGGUCUCUUGUCCCGGCAGCUUGUUGUCUCCGUCGUCCAGCGGCGGUGUGGCAGACAGGCGUCCUGCCCUGGACCUCUCCCCCGCUCUCCCUGCUCCAGCCCCAGCCUCAGCCGACUCACCUUCAUCUCCGUGAACGACGGCAGAGCCGGGCCGACGCCGGAGAGGCCGAAGGUGUCAGUGGAGCCGGGCCGAGCGUCCCUCACCGAGUGAGCCGAGCCUCUGCACGGAGCUGUCCGCAUUCUGUCACUGAAGAAGUGACGACUUUCAGUAGAAAAGUUUCAGUUCUGGAUUCUUAAAGUCUGUGUGUCUGUGUGUGUCUGUGUGUGUGUGUGU
This 1529-nucleotide long non-coding RNA is filed under the name Salarias fasciatus (jewelled blenny). RNAcentral describes it as "lncRNA (ENSSFAG00005012492.1)". The record is from RNAcentral. Lineage: Eukaryota; Metazoa; Chordata; Actinopteri; Blenniiformes; Blenniidae.